RNAcentral lists this ribosomal RNA (301 nucleotides) under uncultured bacterium. RNAcentral describes it as "partial 16S ribosomal RNA". It matches the Rfam family "Bacterial small subunit ribosomal RNA", at positions 509 to 809 of the family's 1533-position model. The record is from RNAcentral.
CAGCAGCCGCGGUAAUACGAAAGGGGCUAGCGUUGUUCGGAAUUACUGGGCGUAAAGCGCACGUAGGCGGAUAUUUAAGUCAGGGGUGAAAUCCCAGAGCUCAACUCUGGAACUGCCUUUGAUACUGGGUAUCUUGAGUAUGGAAGAGGUGAGUGGAAUUCCGAGUGUAGAGGUGAAAUUCGUAGAUAUUCGGAGGAACACCAGUGGCGAAGGCGGCUCACUGGUCCAUUACUGACGCUGAGGUGCGAAAGCGUGGGGAGCAAACAGGAUUAGAUACCCCGGUAGUCCCUGUCUCUUAUAA